RNAcentral lists this ribosomal RNA (997 nucleotides) under uncultured organism. Its description in RNAcentral is "bacterial SSU rRNA". It matches the Rfam family "Bacterial small subunit ribosomal RNA", at positions 355 to 1375 of the family's 1533-position model. The record is from RNAcentral.
UGGGGGAUAUUGCACAAUGGGGGAAACCCUGAUGCAGCGACGCCGCGUGGAGGAAGAAGGUUUUCGGAUUGUAAACUCCUGUCGUUAGGGACGAUAAUGACGGUACCUAACAAGAAAGCACCGGCUAACUACGUGCCAGCAGCCGCGGUAAAACGUAGGGUGCAAGCGUUGUCCGGAAUUACUGGGUGUAAAGGGAGCGCAGGCGGGAAGACAAGUUGGAAGUGAAAACCAUGGGCUCAACCCAUGAAUUGCUUUCAAAACUGUUUUUCUUGAGUAGUGCAGAGGUAGAUGGAAUUCCCGGUGUAGCGGUGGAAUGCGUAGAUAUCGGGAGGAACACCAGUGGCGAAGGCGGUCUACUGGGCACCAACUGACGCUGAGGCUCGAAAGCAUGGGUAGCAAACAGGAUUAGAUACCCUGGUAGUCCAUGCCGUAAACGAUGAUUACUAGGUGUUGGGGGAUUGACCCCCUCAGUGCCGCAGUUAACACAAUAAGUAAUCCACCUGGGGAGUACGACCGCAAGGUUGAAACUCAAAGGAAUUGACGGGGGCCCGCACAAGCAGUGGAGUAUGUGGUUUAAUUCGAAGCAACGCGAAGAACCUUACCAGGUCUUGACAUCCGAUGCAUAGCACAGAGAUGUGUGAAAUCCUUCGGGACAUCGAGACAGGUGGUGCAUGGUUGUCGUCAGCUCGUGUCGUGAGAUGUUGGGUUAAGUCCCGCAACGAGCGCAACCCUUAUUGCCAGUUACUACGUUAGGAGGACUCUGGCGAGACUGCCGUUGACAAAACGGAGGAAGGUGGGGAUGACGUCAAAUCAUCAUGCCCUUUAUGACCUGGGCUACACACGUACUACAAUGGCGUUAAACAAAGAGAAGCAAGACCGCGAGGUGGAGCAAAACUCAAAAACAACGUCUCAGUUCAGAUUGCAGGCUGCAACUCGCCUGCAUGAAGUCGGAAUUGCUAGUAAUCGCGGAUCAGCAUGCCGCGGUGAAUACGUUCCC